RNAcentral lists this ribosomal RNA (695 nucleotides) under Anelosimus sumisolena. Its description in RNAcentral is "partial 28S ribosomal RNA". It matches the Rfam family "Eukaryotic large subunit ribosomal RNA", at positions 571 to 901 of the family's 3401-position model. The record is from RNAcentral. Lineage: Eukaryota; Metazoa; Arthropoda; Arachnida; Araneae; Theridiidae.
AAGGUCGCACUCGUUUUACUCAGUUGGUACCGUGACGGACCGUUAGAUGAGUUGCGCAGCCGAUCCGAACGACGCAUUUCUUUCCGCCCGAAGGACGCCGCAACCGGUUGGGAGACGGCCUGAUGGUGGAGCGACGGCAGGUGGCCGGUGGCGUGCCCAGCGCGUCGUCGGUGUUUAGCCAGCUCUUCACACGGCACGUAGCCCGACCGUGGUGUCGCGAAGCCCGCUCACAUGGGCUUCACCGCCUCCUCUCCGUAAAAAAGAGAUGCGCACAGGCUGCGGAAGUGGCUCUUCGACGCGACAGGCGCACAGACUGACUCUGUGGCCAGUUGCUCGGAGUCCUCGGUGGCCGCCGAUUGAUGCGUUGGAGGCUGGCGGUUGGCGGCGAGUAGAUCGGUCACCCAUCCGACCCGUCUUGAAACACGGACCAAGGAGUCUAACAUGUAUGCGAGUCAAUGGGACUCGAAUAAGCCCAGAGGCGCAAUGAAAGCAAAGUUCGGUGUGACGCCGAACGAGUUGGGAUCCCCGGGCCUACGAGCUCGGGGCGCACCAACGACCCGCCCUGUCCGAUUCAUCGGUUGGGCGGAGUUUGAGCAUACACGUUGGGACCCGAAAGAUGGUGACCUAUGCCCGGGCAGGACGAGGCCAGAGGAAACUCUGGUGGAGGUCCGCAGCGGUUCUGACGUGCAAAUCGA